Molecule: non-coding RNA, 129 nt
Filed under: Ruminiclostridium hungatei
Lineage: Bacteria; Bacillati; Bacillota; Clostridia; Eubacteriales; Oscillospiraceae
Description: Clostridium hungatei FMN sequence
Rfam family: FMN riboswitch aptamer (RFN element)
About the family: The RFN element is a highly conserved domain that is found frequently in the 5'-untranslated regions of prokaryotic mRNAs that encode for flavin mononucleotide (FMN) biosynthesis and transport proteins. This element is a metabolite-dependent riboswitch that directly binds FMN in the absence of proteins.
Source: Rfam by way of RNAcentral
GCGUAUCUUCAGGGCAGGGUGAAAAUCCCUACCGGCGGUAAUAUGCAGGAAAUGCAUUAGCCCGCGAGCGAAAGCAGACAUGGUGAGAUUCCGUGGCCGACAGUACAGUCUGGAUGAAAGAAGAAUUGG